GAUGAACUCGAGAAAAAAAAAACAGCUUUAAUCUGAAUUUCUUUCUUGUGAAUUGUGAGAGAGAGAGAGAGAAAAAAAAGAGUGAGGAAAGAUGGCCAUUGUUGAGUCCGUUGUCGAGCUCCUUCUCCAAAAAAUCGCUGAUCCAAUUAUUCGAGAAGCCAUUUUCUUACACGGCGUUGGUGAUCAAGUCGAAUGGCUAGAGGCGGAAUUUAAGCGGAUGCAAUGCUUCUUGGAAGACGCAGACGCCAAACAAGAAGGAGAUAGAAGAGUAAAGGGUUGGGUGGGGAAUGUGAGAGAUGUUGCAUAUGAUGCCGAGGACGUCAUCGACACCUUUCUCUUCAAGGUAGUAACCUUGAGGCGAACUGGAUUUGUGGGCUGCAUUAAAAGGUAUGCUUGCAUCUUCAAUGAAUUGAUAGCUCGCCAUCAGGUGGGAUCGAAGAUCGAGCGGAUAAAGUCUAAAAUCCGUAAGAUCUCCGAAAGUAGGUCGACAUAUGGAAUUGAAAAUAUAGGGCAGGGAGCAGGGACGAGCUCUGCCGGUCGAAGCCACCAAGAAUGGAGGCUCACUUCUCCUCUUUCUCAAGAAACAGAUUUUGUUGGCUUUGAGAAGGAAUUGGAGAUGUUGGUGUCCCAGUUAACAGAGGGAGAGCUGCGACGUUGUGUUGUUUCUGUAGUAGGAAUGGGUGGUCUCGGUAAGACCACUCUUGUUAAGAAACUUUAUAACGCUGAUACUGUUAAGAAACAUUUCCAUAUUCAUGCGUGGAUUUCUGUAUCACAAGAGUAUUCUGCGAGAGAUCUUUUGCAGACCAUCACAAAACGCUGUAUGGUUCUGUCAAAAGAGCAGCUCAAGUUGGUGGAGAAGAUGGACGUUCUUGAGCUGAGGGACAAGAUUUCCCAGUAUCUGAAUGACAAGAGAUACUUGGUGGUCUUGGAUGAUAUUUGGAAAAGAGAAGCAUGGGAUGCUUUGAAGUAUGCAUUUCCGGAUGUGAAUAAUGGCAGUAGGGUCGUCCUCACCACACGAAUCAAAGACGUAGCUUUAUAUGCAGAUCCACGAAGCUGUCCCCAUGAACUGCGAUUUCUAACCAAUGAAGAGAGCUGGGAUUUGUUCUGUCAAAAAACAUUAAUCCUAGGACAAGAUGGUGGUUGCCAGCAGGAUUUAGAGAAGCUGGGAAGAGAGAUUGUGGAAAAAUGCCAUGGUCUCCCUCUUGCGAUCGCAGUCGUUGGAGGGCUCUUAUCAGGAAAGGAACCAAGGGAGUGGGAGAAUGUACGCAAGAGCAUCCGCUGGCAGUUUGUCCAGGGAGAAGUCCAAAUCUCCAGCAUAUUAUCUUUAAGCUAUAAAGAUCUGCCCUAUUACUUAAAACCAUGUUUUCUCUACCUGGGUAAUUUUCCAGAGGACUAUGAGUUCAAAGCCAAGGAAUUGAUUCGACUGUGGGCCGCAGAAGGGUUUCUUAAAGAAAGAGAGCGGCUAACAUUGGAAGAGGUUGGAGAAGAUUAUCUGAUGCAGUUGGUUCAUAGAAGUAUGGUUCAAUUGACAAGAAGAAGUUCAAGCAGGGGUAUCAAAAGUUGUCGCAUCCAUGACCUUUUGCGAGAUCUGUCUUUAUCAGAAGCUAAGGAAAGCAAGUUUCUCGAAGUUCAGGGUGACAAUGGCAAUGCUCCUCCUGCAUCUAGAGCCCGUCGGCUUGCAAUUCACCUUAAUGACCCAAGGAAAUUAAAAAUCAAACAGCUUUCCACUCCGCACCUUCGUUCUAUGUUGAUCUACACCCAAGGCGAUACAUAUCUUCAAGAGGAACGAAGGAAGUUUCUAUUCCAAGGCUUUAAGUUACUUAGGGUGCUAUAUACAGAUGGUGUACAAAAAAGCGAGCUACCGAAGCAAAUAGGUGAACUAAUCCAUUUGAGAUAUCUCGGGUGUACUAAAACUAGAAUAAAAACCCUCCCAUCAUCGAUAGGCAAUCUUAUCAAUUUACAAACUCUAUUUGUAGAAUCCAGUAAUAAAAUUGGAGUACCUGAGACAAUUGGGAAGAUGCAUCAGUUAAGACAUCUUCAAUUCACCCUCCGUCGGGGAGUGAUAGGAGGGCAUCCGAGGCUCGACCUGAUAAGUAACCUCCAGACUCUAUCAAGAGUAUCUGCUGGCAAAUGGAUGGAGGGUUGCUUGGGAAAGCUCACCAAUCUUAGAAAAUUAAAAAUACUUUUUGAAACAGGAGCGGACGUUGAAUUAUUCUAUGAGGCGAUUGUCAACCUGAACUGCCUCCAUCAUCUGUCGGUGUUGAUGUCAGUAGAGGCACGUGACAAUGAAGACAGAUACUUAUUUUUGUCGUUACCUAAUCUUUCACAUCUGCUCAAGUUGAGUAAGUUGCAUUUGGGAGGAAAGUUAGAAACGUUACCUGAAUUUCCAACAAAUCUCACCAAACUCACCUUGGAAGAGUCCUGGUUAGUGGAAGAUCCAAUGGCGACGUUGGAGAAGCUGAAAAACCUUCGCAUUCUCAGAUUGUCAUCUGAUUCAUAUAUACGAAAGGAAAUGACUUGCUCUGCACAAGGGUUUCCUCGACUCGAAUCCUUAUAUCUUUAUAAAUUAGAUGAAUUAGAGGAGUGGAGAGUUGAUGAAGGAGCUAUGCCAAGUCUUUUACAUUUACAGAUCUAUGCCUGCAACCAAUUGAAGAAGCUUCCAGAAGGACUGCAACACGUGACUACCCUCAAGAAAUUGGAGUUGUGGUUUAUGCCCUAUGAAUUCAAAGCAAGGGUUCGAGAAGAUGGGGGAGAGGAUUGGUAUAAGAUCCGGCACAUACCCUCCAUCGACAUACACGAUAUAUACUGAGAAGCUAAGCAGUCGGAUUUUAAUUUCUAUCAUUAUGAGAGGUACAUACAUAGGGCAACCAUCGACAAUUAGACAGGAGCUUUGACUAAGAUUUUUGGAGCAUCUUUCGUCCAUGGCAGAGUGUAUUAAAUCAAAGUUUGGAUUUCAGAGCUACUAGCCCGACUUGUUUCAUGGAUCAAGACACUUGGACAGAAUGCAUUUGAAGCCUAUACUUCCUGUUUUAUCCAUUAUUAGUAUUUAAAGUUAGGCAUUUUUCUCACAACAGAGAUUGCACUGACCUGCGUAUGCUAAGUGACUAGAUGAAGUGAAGAAUGGUGGAAUGGUGACUAGACAAUGAUGAGAUGUUUGGAUGAUCAUUUGUAUUUGUAACUCAAGGAUUCAUGUACUUUCUGUUUGAGAUCUUUCAAUAAGGAACCAUGCACUAAUAUUCGUUACAUGCUCUGCAUUUUAAUUUGGGGAAAUUGUUCAUUAGUGUUUGACUUAUUUCACUGUA
Molecule: RNA transcript, 3302 nt
Organism: Magnolia sinica
Lineage: Eukaryota; Viridiplantae; Streptophyta; Magnoliopsida; Magnoliales; Magnoliaceae
Gene name: putative disease resistance protein At1g50180
Exons: 4
Source: RefSeq, a predicted model, not a curated record